Molecule: ribosomal RNA, 464 nt
Filed under: uncultured bacterium
Lineage: Bacteria
Description: partial 16S ribosomal RNA
Rfam family: Bacterial small subunit ribosomal RNA
Source: RNAcentral
CUACGGGAUGCUGCAGUUAGGGAUAUUCGGCAAUGGGGGAAACCCUGACCGAGCAAUGCCGCGUGAAUGAAGAAGUAUUUCGAUAUGUAAAGUUCUGUUGUUAAGGAAGAAAGGUACGAAUAGGAAAUGAUUCGUAAUUGACGGUACUUAACCAGAAAGCCCCUGCUAACUACGUGCCAGCAGCAGCGGUAAUACGUAGGGGGCGAGCGUUAUCCGGAAUUAUUGGGCGUAAAGGGUGCGUAGGCGGCCUGUCAAGUCCGAGUUGAAAGCCCACGGCUUAACCGUGGAGGGUGCUCGGAAACUGCUAGGCUAGAAUCCAGAAGAGGCAAGUGGAAUUCUAUGUGGAGCGGUGGAAUGCGUAGAUAUAUGGAGGAACACCAGUGGCGAAGGCGGCUUGCUGGGCUGGUAUUGACGCUGAUGCACGAAAGCGUGGGGAGCAAACAGGAUUAGAUACCCUUGUAGUC